AAGCUAAAAGAAAGGAUGACAGUUCAAGCUCGGAUAUCCACAAAGGCUGAGCAAAAAAAGGCGAGUAUAAUCGUUAUCAUAUUGCUACGAACAACUUCAUUGAAGUUUCCAUUCCGAAGGGAUUGUCAGAAACUGGUCUAAAUCAUGCCUCAUGAAAAAAUGUAUCCUAAUUUAAUUUUUUAAAAUUUCGUAGCAAGACUUACAUUAAAAUGAUGAAAGAAUCUAGAUGAAAACGAAAGAUCGUAAUCGUGAAAGUGCUUAAUCUUGGCGACCCUUAACAAGUCGUUUGAUACAUUUGUCUGCGGUGAUAACAUAAACGACACAGCCCCAUCCACUAAUACAAUCACGAUCUUGGGCGUUAAGUAAAGCUUGGGAGAUAGUCUCAAAGAGAUCGUCAGGCUCUAAAUUGGGCUCGUAUACAGACUCACACAUACCAUAAAGUUGUUCUGUAGCGGUUCCAGAAACGAUGAAAUCCUCUGCAAAAUCGAUGCAUCCAAUGGAAUCGAAUCCACAGAUAAACGGGGUAUUGUCAUUAGAUACACCAGCAACUACUGGGAAUGAGAAAUAGGGACCAAAUCUUUUUUCGUAAAGGGUGGAAGAAACCAAAUUAGCAAAUGUCUUGGGUUGAAUUUGACGCUCUUCGCGGAAUUUGUAAAGGUUCACUUUGUACCGAAAUAACUCAUAAAGCGUCUGAACAUCCGUAGCAAGACCCGUCAGUCCCAAAUACGUUUUGUCACCCAUCGCAAACACCUUAGGAAAGUUGUUGGUCAAAGAAAUUGACUGAACACCCAACCGCAAGUCCGAUGCAAUAGCCACGCAGUUUUUACCUGCCAUGGCUACGCAUGAACCACCAUUAUAUUCCAUAAUACUCAUUUUGUAGGAUUCACUGUUUGUAUGAGGAAAGGUUCUUGCUGACAAAAGAAGCACACGAAUAACCACAGAUGAUAUGUUAUCGCGAGCGCACAAUAACCAAAUACCGUAUUGGAUAGGAUGCGAUAGUUUGAUUUACCGUAUGUUUAGCGAUGCAAGGAGUAUAUCGUAUUACUAGAGCCCUUCCUUUAAAAAAUCACUAUUGACUUUUUACGAUAUCCAUAAUAAAGAGGUAUAAGAAGUGAAAAUGAUAGAUCGUAAAGUUCACAAUAAAAAGGUGUUCAGAGGUAUCACUUAGACUAUUGAAUAAUAUUUAAUGAGAGAAGAAUAAGUCUCCCUGAAAUAGCUUCCUCUAACGAGAAUGUUGGAAUGGCACUAGUGCUGCUACGCUUUGGCUGUGCCAUACUGCCACGUCGUAGUCUGUGCAUUACCGAGCGAUCACAUUUUAAAGGAAUAUCAAGCGAACUUCAAUCUAACUACUUUGGCACCACCAGCGUAGCAAAUAUCUUCAACAACCAUUUCAUCAGUCUCUGCGAUCUAGCAACAGCAAGAUAGCUUGAGAAGGAAUAACGGCGCACAUGCUCGACAUACCCUUGUAAAAACUCAAUAAACCGAUCAUUUCAUUUUAUCAGUGUACAUUAAACUGCGUUAGCUGCGCUUUAGAAGAAAGUAGUCUAAGAGAAUUAAAAGUAAAUAAUGCCAUAUAGCUAACUCGAUGAAGGAUUGUUAGGACUGUAAUC
Non-coding RNA from Schizosaccharomyces pombe (fission yeast), 1610 nucleotides. The record is from the annotation of a GenBank genome assembly. Lineage: Eukaryota; Fungi; Ascomycota; Schizosaccharomycetes; Schizosaccharomycetales; Schizosaccharomycetaceae.